AUUGAACGCUGGCGGCAGGCUUAACACAUGCAAGUCGAGCGGAGAUGAGGUGCUUGCACCUUAUCUUAGCGGCGGACGGGUGAGUAAUGCUUAGGAAUCUGCCUAUUAGUGGGGGACAACAUUCCGAAAGGAAUGCUAAUACCGCAUACGUCCUACGGGAGAAAGCAGGGGAUCUUCGGACCUUGCGCUAAUAGAUGAGCCUAAGUCGGAUUAGCUAGUUGGUGGGGUAAAGGCCUACCAAGGCGACGAUCUGUAGCGGGUCUGAGAGGAUGAUCAGCCACACUGGGACUGAGACACGGCACAGACUCAUACGGGAGGCAGCAGUGGGGAAUAUUGGACAAUGGGGGGAACCCUGAUCCAGCCAUGCCGCGUGUGUGAAGAAGGCCUUAUGGUUGUAAAGCACUUUAAGCGAGGAGGAGGCUACUGAGACUAAUACUCUUGGAUAGUGGACGUUACUCGCAGAAUAAGCACCGGCUAACUCUGUGCCAGCAGCCGCCGUAA
This 501-nucleotide ribosomal RNA is filed under the name uncultured bacterium. RNAcentral describes it as "partial 16S ribosomal RNA". It matches the Rfam family "Bacterial small subunit ribosomal RNA", at positions 30 to 523 of the family's 1533-position model. The record is from RNAcentral.